This 61-nucleotide microRNA precursor is filed under the name Heliconius melpomene (postman butterfly). RNAcentral describes it as "Hme-Mir-33-P8_pre stem-loop". The record is from RNAcentral. Lineage: Eukaryota; Metazoa; Arthropoda; Insecta; Lepidoptera; Nymphalidae.
GUGCAUUGUAGUUGCAUUGCACUUGUUAUUUAUUAUGUGCAAUAUUUCUACAAAGCAAAUC